UCUCUCUCUCUCCUUCACAAAAUUCCCAAAUCCAUCACAAAACCUAAUCCAACUCUCUCUCUUCUCUCUGGGCGGAAAUCGCCGCCAUCCGCCACCGCCGCCUCGCGGUCGCCGCUCGUCCUCGGCUGUCCGACGAGCAGGGCUGCCGCCUGCUGCGUCGCUUGGCGCCACUCCGGCCAUCUCCUCUUUUCCCCUCUUCUUCUUUCCUUCUCGGCGGAAAUCGACUCCGUUCGCCCCGCCUCGCGGCCGCCGGAGCACAGCCGUCGGCUCUGCUUGCUGUUUCCCUCCUCCGUCGGCGCAUCUGAAAAUCGGCUUCCCACUCUCGAAUUCCCCUCUCCGUUGAAGCCAUGGAGGAGUUCUCGGCCCGCGCCGCGUCGCCGCUUACGGCGCGACACCUAUCUCUGCCCCCUUUCGGUUCGAGGCCUAAGUCGCCGCUUCCUCACGCUGCAGCUCUAGCAGCGCCGCCGUACGGUCAGUUCACCGGCUCCGUCGUCAUUCGGCCCUAGCUGGACAGCCCUGUUUGGUCCCACUCUCGAUUCCGAAGCUAAGCUCUACUACUCCCUUUCAUUUCUUAAAAUAAUUGUUUGAAGCUUGGGCAGUAGCCCUGUGAUGUUAGAGCUCUUGAUUUAGGUGUUUUAUAGUUGAUUUUGGAGGGAGCAUUAGCUCUCUGGAAUGAGCUUGACCUUGUUUAACUUGCUAUGUUAAAUGUUGUUUCUAUGAUUCUAAGAGUUGGAGUUCUACUGGGGCUUUACUAAUCUGCAGUUAUCCUAUGAGUUUGGUUAAGAAAUGUUGGUCCCUUGAUUAUUAAAGCUCGUUACUUGCUGUGAGGCUGGAUUUAGUAUAGUUAACACUUGUGCUAUGUGAUGAUUGAUCUAAACAUGAUGUAGAUAAGGUGUUGGGGUGUUGAGGUGUUUACCUCUUGAUGAAGUGAAGGAAUGAGGCUGCCCUUGUUGCUGCUUGAGAUCAGCUCCUAAGGCACCAAGCUUUCUAACUCUCUCUGAAUUUUGCUGAUUAUUUUGAGAAGUGUGGGAGGGAGUUCGAAUGUGGUGUGGAGGCCCUUGUUUUAUAGGCUGAUUUUGUGUACCUUAGGGGAGUUAAUGAGGCUGACCUUGUUUGGUUUAUUGCCCAGCAUAUCUCUUGUUCUUGAUCCCCAAAGCAGCCUUUUACAUGACACAUUUUGGUGCUACUUGGAGUACUAGAGUUUGACUAAUUAAUUUAACUUGUUCUCACAUGCUCUCAUAGUACUUUGGUUCAUAUCUUCAUUUGUUUGCAAGCUGCAAGAAAUCUCUCACUUCCUUGAUCUCCACUACUCUUGUUUGAAGGAACUUGGUGUUUUGCUAAGGACAGAGGACUUCUCAUUUACUCACUUUGGUGGUUUGUGUGACUAAGAAAAGCUGGUGUGCCGGCUGUUUUUUUAGAGGAGUAUAAAGGCAGAUUUGGCUUUCCUCAUUUGGGUAGGUCCUUAGUCCUCUAUCACUAAGGUGGGUCACCUUGGCUGCUUUGAUGUUCUCGGAUUCGGCCCGCCGUUCGGCCGAUGGGUUGCUCAAACGGGCCACGAUUUGGGCCUGAGGAGGAAGGCUCGAAAAGCAUCUAAAUUUUAUUUUCUUUGUUUUCUUUCUUUGAAGCCUUGAUCCACAUAUUGUAGUAUUUUUGACAUUAGUUGUUCGUUUGUUGUAUUAGAAAUGUUAUUCGAAAAUUCAUGAUAUUCUACAAUGUAAAUUUCCAAAUUCUUAGUUCAA
This is a long non-coding RNA of Salvia hispanica, 1739 nucleotides long. RefSeq lists it as uncharacterized. Lineage: Eukaryota; Viridiplantae; Streptophyta; Magnoliopsida; Lamiales; Lamiaceae. The record is from RefSeq and is a predicted model, not a curated record.